UGAGCAAUCUGCCCUUCUCUUCGGAAUAAGCGUUGGAAACGACGUCUAAUGCCGAAUACGACCUCCUUUCGCAUGAUCGGAGGUGGAAAGCUCCGGCGGAGAAGGAUGAGCUCGCGGCCUAUCAGCUAGUUGGUGUGGGUAAUGGCCCACAAGGCGACGGACGGGUAGCCGGCCUGAGAGGGUGACCGGCCACACUGGGACUGAGACACGGCCCGAGACCUCCGUACGGGGAGNAGCG
RNAcentral lists this ribosomal RNA (238 nucleotides) under uncultured bacterium. RNAcentral's name for it is "partial 16S ribosomal RNA". It matches the Rfam family "Bacterial small subunit ribosomal RNA", at positions 118 to 353 of the family's 1533-position model. The record is from RNAcentral.